RNAcentral lists this unclassified non-coding RNA (726 nucleotides) under Lespedeza sp. NG065. Its description in RNAcentral is "partial contains small subunit ribosomal RNA, internal transcribed spacer 1, 5.8S ribosomal RNA, internal transcribed spacer 2, and large subunit ribosomal RNA". The stretch from base 312 to 467 matches the Rfam family "5.8S ribosomal RNA". The record is from RNAcentral. Lineage: Eukaryota; Viridiplantae; Streptophyta; Magnoliopsida; Fabales; Fabaceae.
UUAUCAUUUAGAGGAAGGAGAAGUCGUAACAAGGUUUCCGUAGGUGAACCUGCGGAAGGAUCAUUGUCGAUGCCUCGCAAUCAGUUUGACCGGCGAACUUGUUUAUUUUCUAACCUGCAGGGUUGGCUUGGGGUGUUUGACAUCUCAUCCUCUCCCCUGCGCCGGGAGGCGGUCGUGCCUUGCUCGGCUUCCUCUCGACACACUCAAACCCCGGCGCUUCGUGCGCCAAGGAAUCCAAAAUUGUUCGGCGCGGCCCGGGGGACUCGGAGACGGUGUUCCUACGGGUCUGGUCGCGAGACACGUAAAAUAAUGACUCUCGGCAACGGAUAUCUCGGCUCUUGCAUCGAUGAAGAACGUAGCGAAAUGCGAUACUUGGUGUGAAUUGCAGAAUCCCGUGAACCAUCGAGUCUUUGAACGCAAGUUGCGCCCGAAGCCAUUAGGCCGAGGGCACGCCUGCCUGGGUGUCACACAUCGUUACCCUCACGCAAAUGUGUCUUGUUAGCCACAGCGUAGGGCGUAUGUUGACCUCCCGCGAGCGGUGUCUCGUGGUUGGUUGAAAACUGAGUUUGCGGUGGAGUGUGUCGUGAUGAGAUGGUGGAUGGGCAUUGCCCGAGGCCAGUCACGCUUGACUCUGUCCGGUUUGGACUAUGGGACCCCUUCGGCGUCUCCGGACGCUCUUUAGCGAGACCUCAGGUCAGGCGGGGCUACCCGCCGAGUUUAAGCAUA